Ostrinia nubilalis (European corn borer) is the source of this 608-nucleotide long non-coding RNA. RefSeq lists it as uncharacterized. NCBI's taxonomy places the organism in Eukaryota, Metazoa, Arthropoda, Insecta, Lepidoptera, Crambidae. The transcript has 2 exons. The record is from RefSeq and is a predicted model, not a curated record.
GAUAGUUUCCACUGUAGAUAUAGGAUCUGACUAUAAAUAGGCGUGUUAUCAGAAAUAGGUUUUAGUUGUUGCAUGUAGCCUACUACCAUGAUGUCUCGGGUUGUGUGUAUCGGAUUGGGUCUCUUAGUUGUGUUGGGCUUCUUCGAAGCUGGUGCAGCUCCUCAUCAAGGUGGUGGUAGCUUCAGCCAAGCCAGUGCUCAAUCAUCAAGCGGCGGCUUCGGCGGAGGUCCCGGUUUUGGCGGCCCUUCUGCCCGUGGCUCUAGCAUAGGAGGUCCUGGCUUUGGAGGCCCAGGCUUUGGCGGCCCUUCUGCCCGAGGGUACAACUCUGGUGGUCCAGGAUUUGGUGGGCCCCCUACCAAUUACGGACGCCCUGGCUUCGGUGGCUCUGGUGGAAGUGGACCUACUAUCAAUAUCUCGAAGAGUGUCAGCAUCAGCACAGGCGGUGGUAGUUCUCAAUCGCAAGCCAGCUCGGCUGCAAGAUCCGGUGGAAAGUGAUAAGACUUUGAAUACUGUUUUUGUGAUUUUUUUAUUGAUUAAAUAAUGUUUUGGUUCAUAAAGCUGGUGAAUUGAAGUUAUAUUAAGUAUAAUAAAAUGGUAAAUAAUUCCUA